CACAACUCAAUGACUCCACCUUCUCCAGCCGGCAAAGAUAAAGAACAGAGUCCUGCAAGAACAGAGUCCUGCCUUCACUAGCCUGCCACCAUCGGUCAGCCGGCAAAACCACUACUGGGUGCGGAGAGAGUUUAGAAGGCUGUCACCACCAGUCUACCGCCACUAUCAGAUGGCUGGAACUGCUGCAGGUAAAGAUAAAUUCUGAUGAUGGGUUUCAUUGGUAAUAAAAAGAGAUAUUUGGAUGACCAGUUUGAAGUUUGAAGAUUUCAAGAAUUGCAAGAUGACAACAUGUAAAUUUUGUGGGCAAAGGUUGCUGGCCAAAUCUGGUGUGGCAUUGGGUUACAUUCAUAAGGUAUCAUGGUGACAUUCCAUCUUUGUUUGUAUGAUCAUCUCUAAAAGGGUCUUGAUAUCUUGAUGAUGCAGAAGAUGUAGAUACAUCUGUGUUCAGCUGAAUAUCUCUGCUUAACCAAUUUAUUUUCACUUUAAUAUGAUAAUAUUUGUUACACAUAAUACUUUUGAUCUUAUUGUUUUACCCACUAAAAGAAGAGGAAGUUCUUUCAACAUUAAGAGUCCUCUUAUUUGUAGGGAAGAGAGUCAGAUUACGGAAAUGGGCAAUUUCAUCAUUAUUUGAAGUAUGUUGUAGUUUCAUUCUCAAAGGUUCUUGCUACGUCAUAUUGAA
Long non-coding RNA from Quercus robur (English oak), 679 nucleotides. RefSeq lists it as uncharacterized. The transcript has 4 exons. The record is from RefSeq and is a predicted model, not a curated record. Lineage: Eukaryota; Viridiplantae; Streptophyta; Magnoliopsida; Fagales; Fagaceae.